This 459-nucleotide ribosomal RNA is filed under the name uncultured bacterium. RNAcentral's name for it is "bacterial SSU rRNA". It matches the Rfam family "Bacterial small subunit ribosomal RNA", at positions 33 to 507 of the family's 1533-position model. The record is from RNAcentral.
ACGCUGGCGGCGUGCUUAACACAUGCAAGUCGAACGGUGACGGAGAGCUUGCUCUCCUGAUCAGUGGCGAACGGGUGAGUAACACGUGGGCAACCUGCCCCAGACUUCGGGAUAACGCUUCGAAAGAGGUGCUAAUACCGGAUACGAACUCCUUGGGCAUCCUUGGAGUUGGAAAGUUUUUCGGUCUGGGAUGGGCCCGCGGCCUAUCAGCUUGUUGGUGAGGUAACGGCUCACCAAGGCGACGACGGGUAGCCGGCCUGAGAGGGCGACCGGCCACACUGGGACUGAGACACGGCCCAGACUCCUACGGGAGGCAGCAGUGGGGAAUAUUGCGCAAUGGGCGAAAGCCUGACGCAGCAACGCCGCGUGAGGGAUGACGGCCUUCGGGUUGUAAACCUCUUCAGCAGGGAAGAAGCGAAAGUGACGGUACCUGCAGAAGAAGCACCGGCUAACUACGUG